Molecule: ribosomal RNA, 253 nt
Filed under: uncultured bacterium
Lineage: Bacteria
Description: partial 16S ribosomal RNA
Rfam family: Bacterial small subunit ribosomal RNA
Source: RNAcentral
UACGGAGGGGGCUAGCGUUGUUCGGAAUUACUGGGCGUAAAGCGCGCGUAGGCGGACCUGCAAGUCGGGGGUGAAAGCCCGAGGCUCAACCUCGGAACGGCCUUCGAUACUGCGGGUCUCGAGUCCGGGAGAGGUGAGUGGAAUUCCUAGUGUAGAGGUGAAAUUCGUAGAUAUUAGGAAGAACACCAGUGGCGAAGGCGGCUCACUGGCCCGGUACUGACGCUGAGGCGCGAAAGCUAGGGGAGCAAACAGG